UGGGGUAUCGUCAAGUGGUAAGACACAGGAUUUUGAUUCCUGCAUUCCUAGGUUCGAAUCCUAGUACCCCAACCA
Molecule: transfer RNA, 75 nt
Filed under: Oligoflexia bacterium
Lineage: Bacteria; Pseudomonadati; Bdellovibrionota; Oligoflexia
Also listed under: 1 other name
Description: tRNA-Gln
Rfam family: tRNA
About the family: Transfer RNA (tRNA) molecules are approximately 80 nucleotides in length.
Source: RNAcentral